AGUGAACGCUGGCGGUAGGCCUAACACAUGCAAGUCGAGCGACAGCACAGUAAGAUCUUUCUCUUACGGGUGGCGGGUGGCGGGCGGGUGAGAAGUGCAUCAGCAUCUACUUUUUCUGGGGGGAUAACGUGAAAACGCUUACACUAAUGGCGCAUACGUCCUACGGGUGGAAUCAAGAGAUCUUCGGGCCUUGCGCGAUUCAAUUAGCCGAUGCCGGAUUAGCUAGUUGGCGGGGUAAAGGCCCACCAAGGCGACGAUCCGUAGCCGGUCUGAGAGGAUGAUCAGCCACACUGGAACUGAGACACGGUCCAGACUCCUACGGGAGGCAGCAGUAGGGAAUAUUGGACAAUGGGCGAAAGCCUGACGGAGCCACACCGCGUGGGUGAAGAAGGUCUUCGGGUUGUAAAGCUCUGUUGUUGGGGAAGAAAAGAAGCAGAAUAAUCCAUCGAUGUUUUGACGGUACCUAAACAAUAAGCAACGGCUAACUUCGUG
Molecule: ribosomal RNA, 492 nt
Filed under: uncultured bacterium
Lineage: Bacteria
Description: partial 16S ribosomal RNA
Rfam family: Bacterial small subunit ribosomal RNA
Source: RNAcentral